This is a long non-coding RNA of Labrus mixtus (cuckoo wrasse), 4309 nucleotides long. RefSeq lists it as uncharacterized. Lineage: Eukaryota; Metazoa; Chordata; Actinopteri; Labriformes; Labridae. The record is from RefSeq and is a predicted model, not a curated record. The transcript has 2 exons.
GAGCUAAUGUGCACCGGUGUUGAAACAGUGAGUUAAAGUGUGAUUCAGGGUUUGACGUUGUUGAAGUAAGAAGUGCUCAGAGGAACAGGGGCGUCUGUUGUCUGGACUUUGUCUCAUGAGGCAAACAAAAGAGAGACAGCAGGAGUUCAGCUGCAGGUAUUUAGCUUACGAGGCAGACCCUCAUGUUAGUCACCAAAUCAAAACUAGAAAUGAUUUGUAGCCAUUUCUAAGAAGAUCUGUUUCACCAUCCUGCAUCCUGUUUGUCAUUUAAACCACUGCAGCUGUUUGAAGGUUAUGACAGACUACAUGGCAGUAUUUUCACAUCUUACUGUCAGUGACCAGUUAGACAAAGUUUCUCGGGAGUAAUACGCUCUGAAGAGGUUUUCAGAGUUUAGUUUGAUGACUGGGACGGUCACUGCUGCAAUGGUUGGAAGUUCCUAAAGAGGUCCAGAGUCAGAGAUGAACAAUAACAAAACCACUUCUACAUUAAAAUGUCUUCAACCUAUUCCAUAGUGUGUGAUUUCACACAUAGCCGUGGUUUUGAUUUCGAGACCCCUUGAGUUAAAUGUCAUACUGUGCAUUUAAAACAAAAGGUUACUCAUUUUAAAAUGUGGAUUCAGUUAACCAACAUAAAAAAGAACAAGGAUUAACUAUAGACUGUGACCUACCACAGGUGUUCAGAUGUGUUGGUCUUUGCAAAGCAUAGCCUAUAAUUUGUGUAUUUGUCGCUAAACAAGAGGACUAACAUGACCAAACUCGUCACUGGGCAUCAGACUAUCAGACUCCUGUAGCCCUGAUGAAGAAAACGCGUCCUCGCUUUAGGAACUUCCAGCCAUCAGAGCGUUGAUUGUUCGUCAUAAAGACAGUGCCUGAACAUGACAUGGAAAAGUUUAAUGGAUGUAGCCUCAGCUGAGGUACGACGGCUCUGAACUGAUGAGAAAUGGCUUCAGAUCAAAAAAAAAUCAGAACACUGUUUUGUUUUGUUUUAUCGGUUUCAAUGCUGUUGGACUUGGAUCAACUUCUCAGGACAGGGCAUUUGCAGUUUAUGUGUGAAAUACAAAUAUGUGUCUAAAAAUAUAUAUAUAUGUAUAAGACAAAGAAAAAAAAUGCAUCUAAUCACAUAUAGUUUAAUCAUAACAUCCAUACAUGUCUUGCUGUAUUGCUAUUAUGAAACAUUAUGUGUGUACAUAUUCCCAGUCUGUAGCUGGAUGUAGAGACUGCUGCAGACGUUUUGUGUCAUCGCUGGUUCAUUUCACCUCAAAUACAUAUGCAUCUACGUCUUUAUAUGAAAACAUUACUCAGAAGUCUUUACUGUGGAGAGCACAGACUACAGGCAGGCCAUCAUAGCUCCAUGCUGCUUCAUUAUAAAUAUGCUGCGGUCAGUAGCUGAAACAUGGAGUCUGGAUUGGCCAAUCUCUCUUUCAAAGCUCUUGCACAGUAUUUCAGUUUUUUUAUUUUUUAGAAAUCACUCUCCGUACUCUGAAUCUGCUUCGGAUGCCUCUGCAGAGAACAUCAUCCUCAAAGUCCUUUCAUUAUAACAUCAUAUUAUCAGCUGCAUUAUCAUGUAACUCUGAAGACUUUAUGCAUUAACAUGCUUUAUGCGUACUGUAGAAAAAUAUGCAGUAACAACCGAGUCAGGCUCAUCUGGGGACAAAGCAUUUAUUUUCCUACUGUCAGUACAUGCACUGAGCUUCAAUGCUGAGACCAAGCGAAAGCGCCAAACCACUAUGAUGAAGACGUUUGCAUUCAACUUCACAGACUGUGUAAGAACAGCUUCACUGUGGUGGAUGGAGCUGAUCUGUAUGCACUGCUUAAAGGAUCAACAUCUCAUGAAACGUAACAGAGGGGGGGCUAUCACCAUGUUGCUCCUCCAGUAUGCACACGCAGCAAAAUGUAGAUUUUAAAUACAUUGUACAGGCUUCAUGUAAAACUGUACAGACAUCGUGUGUGUCCAGCUUUGGUACUUUAUUUUUCUCCCACAUCCUCCUCUGACUAACACCGGAGUUUCCCUCACUCUUCUCCUUCUGCUGACCUCUCACUUUAAAUUGCAUGCGCUCAUCUGUAAAUAAUGUGUUUAUAGUUGUGGCUUAAAAAAACCCCCACUGUGGGUUCAAAUGUCCCUUGUUUCGUCCCUCUGUGUGUCUCGUCUGUGUAAAGCGGUCUUAGAUGUAGGCUUGGCUGUCUUCAUCAUCUUGGAUUAAUGCAUGUUCUCUGUUCUUGUCGAGAGGAGGGAGGUGAAAGAGGAAGAGUUUGAGGCUUUUAUGGACAUUUUACAUCAAUCAGAAUCAGGCAUCAGUCAUCUGAGCAGUUUAAAGGAUUUAAACACCCAAGCGCAUCGUGCAGUGUGCUUUGGGUUGAAUUUUAACCGCUAACUUGAAAAGAACUGCUAAUAUUGUUAGCUUCUUGUAAGAAAAACAGUAAGGGCGAUGUCUCAUCACAAAGAGGAACAAUUACGGUAAUGAUGGCUGCUUGGAAAAGAUGAAAACAUGUUUGGCUAGUUGGCUUCAUUGUGCUUUCGCUCUGUGUGUAUAUCAAUAAAACCAGAUGCUGCCACUAACAGCUAAGCGCUCUGCGAGUGGUGCAUGACACUGAAUGAACUGUAGGACUGUUUCGUUUAUUAAGAUGGUUAAGAAAUAAUAAUCUGAGUAAAUGUAAAGUAAAACUACAUCUCAAAUCAUUGCAAACAUCAAAAGGCCUUUUGUUUCUGGAAUAAAGAAAUGUCACUUUAAUGCUAAUUAAAUUAGCUUGUAGCUCAUUUAUCAUGUUCUUUAUUUAGUUCUGUUUUAAUCAUUACCUUACCUUUGGAAAAUUGCUAAUCUUGUUAGCUUCCUUUCAGUAAAUUUAAAAACAAAAACAUUUGUCUCAGCACAAACAGGAUCAAUUCAUUAUGGCGGCAUGGGAAAGAUUCAAGAGCAGCCUGAAAAUGUUUGGCUGCAGUUAGCUUCAUUUUGCUUCCGCUGUGUGUUUCAUUAAAGCCAGACGCUAACAUCUAACGCCUGAACUCAUUGCAAAUGGCGCAUGCUACUGACUACUGAAAAGAUAAAAGAUGAGACUGAAAAGGUUUGGCUAGUUAGCUUCUUUGUGAAAGCUCUCAUUAAAAUUGUAACGCUUAUAUCCAACCUCACAAGUCACAUGCUACUGAAUGAAUGGUUAAUAUGUUCAGUUUGUUUAAAAUAUUUAAAGAACUAAAGUGUUCAGUUAAACCACUCAUCAAAAGGCCCUUAGUUCGGGAAUUACGUUAGCUUGUUUCUCAUUUAACUUUUCAACUAUCAACUUGACAAGAAUUGCAUCUUGUUAGCUUACAUCAUUUAGUUUAUGAUAGCUGCUUGAAAAAUAUUAAACGUCUCUCAAAUUGUGCUUUGUGUUUUAUUAAAGCUAGAUGCUAACGCUAACACAUAACGUCAUUGCUAACGGCACAUGCUACUGACAAAGAUGAAAAAUAUGUUUGAAAAGCUCCGCAUUGAACAAAUGGAAAGUAACCACUCAUCCCAGUUUAAACAGCUAAAGGCCUUUUGUUUCUGUAAUUAAAUAAGACUCUGUAGCAUUACAUUAGCAUGUAGCUCUUGAAACAGUUAGCAGCCUUUUGAGUUUAAAAGGGAGUUUUAGCCUUUUGAGAUUUAGCUCUUGUUUGGAGCUACUGAACUACUUAUCCUGUGUUAAACCGUAUAUAAACAUGGACUGAGAGAACACGUUUUGUUGCCUGUUUGAACAUAAAACUGUGAUUUAAAAAACACAUCAUCCACACCAUCCACCAGUCGAUGUCAUAUCUGAAGUUUCACAAAUUCAGAACUUUCUGACAUGAGUCAAGUAUUUACAAACCUUAAAUUAAAUUAAAUACCUAAGACACAAUAUUUACUUUUGAUUGAUUAUUUAAGAUUUUAAAUAUUUGAACUCAGGUCGACUAUAUGCAAAUCUAUUUGACAUCACGUGGUAUAAGAGAAAAACAAGUAUUAUUUCAGUGUUGUGUCGGCAUGUACAGUAGCAGAUUCUCUUGCACGGUCACUUUGUUGUUUUUGAUUGUUGGACUGAUUGUUUAGUUGUUUUAUUGGUUUAGUUAGAUUAUUUUAUUUAUUUAUUUUUGUCAUUUAGUCUCUUUUUAAUAAGAAACUCUGGGAGAUUUAAUUUAAGAAGAAUAAGACAAAAAAAAAAAAAAGCCCCAAAUAAUGACCCCCGUCUUCUGGGACAACCAAGCCUUAUGAACUUUGUGAAGUGAAAAUUUUGAAUGUUUGUAUGUUAUAAAAAGAAAACAUGGAUUGUUUUAUAUGUUAAUACUGCCACAAUAAAGCUCCCUGAUGAAUAUAUAUUGAAA